AGUGAACGCUGGCGGUAGGCCUAACACAUGCAAGUCGAACGGCAGCACAGUAAGAGCUUGCUCUUACGGGUGGCGAGUGGAGGACGGGUGAGGAAUACAUCGGAAUCUACUUUUUCGUGGGGGAUAACGUAGGGAAACUUACGCUAAUACCGCAUACGACCUACGGGUGAAAGCAGGGGAUCUUCGGACCUUGCGCGAUCGAAUGAGCCGAUGUCGGAUUAGCUAGUUGGCGGGGUAAAGGCCCACCAAGGCGACGAUCCGUAGCUGGUCUGAGAGGAUGAUCAGCCACACUGGAACUGAGACACGGUCCAGACUCCUACGGGAGGCAGCAGUGGGGAAUAUUGGACGAUGGGCGGAAGCCUGAUCCAGCCAUACCGCGUGGGUGAAGAAGGCCUUCGGGUUGUAAAGCCCUUUUGUUGGGAAAGAAAAGCAGCAGGUUAAUACCCCGCUGUUCUGACGGUACCCAAAGAAUAAGCACCGGCUAACUUCGUG
Molecule: ribosomal RNA, 492 nt
Filed under: uncultured bacterium
Lineage: Bacteria
Description: partial 16S ribosomal RNA
Rfam family: Bacterial small subunit ribosomal RNA
Source: RNAcentral